UGAUAGUGGAACAGUUAGAGAAAACUAGAAUGUUAGAAGGAUGUCUGUUUCAUGUGAACAAAAACUUUUCAACCCAAUCUGGACAGGGCCAUCUAUAGCACAUUGAGCUGAUAUUUUUACGAGACAACCCCAUUCUAGAAUGUUGUGCUGAUUGUGAUUUGUGAAUAGUUUUAACAGUAAACCAAUUAUUAAUGGCAUUCACGAAUCAUAUAAAAAGAUAUAGCUGACUUUUCCAUUUUUUCUUUGGCCGAAUUGGUUCAGAAAUCAACAAUGAUGUCACUCCUACAGUCUAUGGGAAUACCUCCUAAUAUCUGCUGCCAUAUGUGUGCAUGCAGGAUAUUAAGUGAAGUUUCACUGUGUCAACCUUGUGCAUAGACUAGUUAUAGUUAAAUGACAAAUCACUGGGCAAUUGACAUGGAAAGUAAACCUGCAAGCCUCCUCCUAGGAACCACCUUAGUUUUUUUCUUUUUUCCUUUUGUUUUUUGAGCAACCCACGAGAAGACCCGAUUAACCUUCACCUCAUUCAGGCCUGCGAGACCUUACAUUUUUAUUUUUCAUUUUACUGCGAAAGCUGUUAGAUAUAUGCCCUAGAAGCCAAUAUGGCUGACACAUUAUUAAUUCUGGGACAUUGUUUUGUACUUGACUUUAUUAUUAUUGAAUAAUAAAUGGGCAUUCUUUUCAUUCAUAUUGUUUAUGUGUCUAUGAAUCGUCCAAGGAAUUAAUAAGACGAUACAUAUUCUCAAGAA
Molecule: long non-coding RNA, 746 nt
Filed under: Phoenix dactylifera (date palm)
Lineage: Eukaryota; Viridiplantae; Streptophyta; Magnoliopsida; Arecales; Arecaceae
Description: long non-coding RNA (PDAC_LNC018695)
Source: RNAcentral